UACGUAGGGGGCAAGCGUUGUCCGGAAUCAUUGGGCGUAAAGAGCGUGUAGGCGGCCAGAAAAGUCCGCUGUGAAAACUCGAGGCUCAACUUCGAGCUGUCGGUGGAAACUUUCUGGCUAGAGUCCGGAAGAGGAGAAUGGAAUUCCUGGUGUAGCGGUGAAAUGCGCAGAUAUCAGGAAGAACACCCGUGGCGAAGGCGGUUCUCUGGGACGGUACUGACGCUGAGACGCGAAAGCUAGGGGAGCAAACGGG
RNAcentral lists this ribosomal RNA (253 nucleotides) under uncultured bacterium. Its description in RNAcentral is "partial 16S ribosomal RNA". It matches the Rfam family "Bacterial small subunit ribosomal RNA", at positions 524 to 776 of the family's 1533-position model. The record is from RNAcentral.